CCCGUGGUAAACAACAAGCAGCAUUUAAUUAACUUGUAAGUCUGUGGGUCAGCUGGGUUGGCUUGGCUGGGGUAGCUCAGCUCUGCCCCCUCCUCCUCCCAGGACCAGCAGGCUAGGCUGGGCAUGUUCUUGUGGCAGUAGCUGAGGCACAAGCAGGCAAGCCCAACCACGGAAGUGCUUAUCAAGCCCCUGCUCGAUGCACCUCUGCUCUCAUCCCAUUGGCCAGAGCAAGUCCCAUGGCUGAGCAACGUCCACUCAAGUUGCAAUGGGAGGGCACUGCAAAAUAACAUGGGCCUUCCACACUGUAGACACAUAGUAAAUAUUUAUCAGAAGGAAGGAAGAGAAAGAGAGGGAGGGAAGAAGGAAGAAAUGGAAGGAGAGAGGGAAGGAGAGAUGAUGAGGAUGUGAGUCCCAAGACGGCAGGGACUGUGUGUUGUUCACUGCUAUAUCCUAAGAUCUCCAUCCAGCAGCCAGUAGCAGGCUCAAAACUAUUUGUUAAAUCAAUGAAUGAAUAGAACUGCAGUAAAUAUGUGUGCAGAGGCAAAAAA
Molecule: long non-coding RNA, 548 nt
Filed under: Homo sapiens (human)
Lineage: Eukaryota; Metazoa; Chordata; Mammalia; Primates; Hominidae
Description: long independently transcribed non-coding RNA 489 (LINC00489)
Source: RNAcentral